Molecule: ribosomal RNA, 499 nt
Filed under: uncultured Lachnospiraceae bacterium
Lineage: Bacteria; Bacillati; Bacillota; Clostridia; Lachnospirales; Lachnospiraceae
Description: bacterial SSU rRNA
Rfam family: Bacterial small subunit ribosomal RNA
Source: RNAcentral
AGAGUUUGUAUCCUCGGCUCAGGAUGAACGCUGGCGGCGUGCUAACACAUGCAGUCGAGCGAAGUCACUUUUUAGUAAUCUUCGGAGGGAAGGAGAGGGUGACUUAGCGGCGGACGGGUGAGUAACGCGUGGGCAACCUGCCUUACACAGGGGAUAACAAUUAGAAAUGAUUGCUAAUACCGCAUAAGACCACGGUACUGCAUGGUACAGUGGUAAAAACUGAGGUGGUGUAAGAUGGGCCCGCGUCUGAUUAGGUAGUUGGUGGGGUAGAAGCCUACCAAGCCGACGAUCAGUAGCCGACCUGAGAGGGCGACCGGCCACAUUGGGACUGAGACACGGCCCAAACUCCUACGGGAGGCAGCAGUGGGGAAUAUUGCACAAUGGGGGAAACCCUGAUGCAGCGACGCCGCGUGAGUGAGGAAGUAUUUCGGUAUGUAAAGCCCUAUCAGCAGGGAAGAAAAUGACGGUACCUGACUAAGAAGCCCCGGCUAACUACGUG